Eubalaena glacialis (North Atlantic right whale) is the source of this 1277-nucleotide long non-coding RNA. RefSeq lists it as uncharacterized. The transcript has 4 exons. The record is from RefSeq and is a predicted model, not a curated record. NCBI's taxonomy places the organism in Eukaryota, Metazoa, Chordata, Mammalia, Artiodactyla, Balaenidae.
UUCCCCACGACCGGUCGUCGCGGCCCCGGGGCACGGGCGGCUGCGUGUUAACCGCUCCCAUCCCGAAGCGGAUUGGGAACCGGGCGCCUCAGGUGUUCUAACUCCCUGUUGGGCGGAGCCGGGCACAAGUCCACUCGGCCGAGACGUGAGGUUUCUCUGAAGUAACACAUCAACCACGGACACACGGUUCGAGCCAGCGCGUUUCCCGCCCGCCUCCCGGGGCGCCGCGGGCCGGGCCGAACCCGGGCUGGGCCGCCGCCCCCCACCCCCCACCCCCCGGUGUCGGCCGUGAACCUCCUGGGGGCUGAGGACGCGGAGCCCGAGGGAAGAGGGGCCGGGAAUCUCCCAGGAGCAGCAAAACGACUGAGACGGAAAAAAGAUGAGAAGAUCCCUGGGCCCUCCGUUCGGUCCAGUGAGGACACAGCGAGAAGACGCGGUCCAUGAACCAGAACGGGGGCCCUCACCAGACACCGACUCUGUUGAUCUUGGAUUCCCAGCCUCCAGAACUGUGAGCACUCAAGCCCCCCGGUCUGUGGCAUCCGUUACAGCAGCCCAGAUGGACGACUCACCCCUGAGGUUGUCCGUCAGCCCUCCCAUCCCAUCCAUCACUCCUGGGCUCAGUCGUGCAGACUCCCCUCCUUGCUUCCUGCCUUACCUCACAUCCAGUCCUGCUGGUUUCUCCUUCAGCAUCUUUCAGAAACCAGCCACUUCCCACCAUCACCACUGCAACCAGGGGGCGGUGGGGAGGGUGCUGGGAAACCCUGGUCUCACACCCUGAUUACUAAAAUAGCCUCCUCCUGGCUUCCCUGCUUCCACCUCCCUGCCCCGUCAGUCUGUCCCCAGCACAGCAGCUGGGUGACCCAGUGACCACUCUUGUCACAUCCUAGCACCCUGGACUCUGGGGUCCCCCACCUGGCAGACGGGAGCAGUCAUCCUGAGGAAGAUGAAACUGGGGGAAUAACUGGAUUUCCCGCUGUGUACUCAGACAAGCUCUGAAGGAUGGGACAGCUUGAAGGAGGGAGGCACCUGUCUUCUGAAGAGACGGGCUCCUGGGAUCACCGCCGCUUUGGUCUCCCAUGGCCACGUGUGCGGUCAGGAGGGAGCGGCCCUGCGUGUAAAGUGCUGGGGCCGCCUGGCACGGCAGGCCCUAGAGCCGGGAGGCCACAGGAGAGACCCUGAGCAGGUGCUCGGUCGAGGAAGUGGAUGAAUGGGACGGCUUCUCCAGAAGGCAGAUAAGAGCACGGUGGCCUCCCCACCUGACAACUUGCCCUGAGGCC